This 1242-nucleotide ribosomal RNA is filed under the name metagenome. RNAcentral describes it as "bacterial LSU rRNA". It matches the Rfam family "Bacterial large subunit ribosomal RNA", at positions 1564 to 2815 of the family's 2925-position model. The record is from RNAcentral.
UGAUGACGAGACGCUAAGGCGUCGAAGCAGUGUAUGUCAGACUUCCAAGAAAAGCUCGCAAUGUCACAAAUGAAAAAUGCCUGUGCCAUAACCGACACAGGUGGGUAGGUAGAGUAUACUAAGGGGCGCGAGAUAACUCUCUCUAAGGAACUCGGCAAAAUGACUCCGUAACUUCGGGAGAAGGAGUGCCUUAUUUAUAAGGUUGCAAUAACAAGAUCCAAGCAACUGUUUAUCAAAAACACAGGUCUCCGCUAAGUCGUAAGACGAUGUAUGGGGGCUGACGCCUGCCCAGUGCCAGAAGGUUAAAGAAGUUGGUUAGUGUAUGCGAAGCUGAUGACUGAAGCCCUGGUGAACGGCGUCCGUAACAAUAACGGUCCUAAGGUAGCGAAAUUCCUUGUCGGGUAAGUUCCGACCCGCACGAAAGGCGUAAUGAUUUGGAUACUGUCUCGGAGAGAGGCUCGGUGAAAUAGACUUGUCUGUGAAGAUGCGGACUACCUGCACCAGGACAGAAAGACCCUAUGAAGCUUUACUGUAACUUGAAAUUGGAAUUGGACUUUGCUUGCGCAGUAUAGGUGGGAAGCGUUGAAAAUAUUCUUGCGGGAGUAUUGGAGCUAUCAGUGAGAUACCACUCUUGUAAUGUUAGAUUUCUAACUUUGAACCAUAAUCUGGUCAAAGAACAGUUUCAGGUGGGCAGUUUGACUGGGGCGGUCGCCUCCCAAAUGGUAACGGAGGCGUACAAAGGUUUCCUCUGAACGGAUAGAAAUCGUAUCUAGAGUGUAAAGGCAUAAGGAAGCUUGACUGUGAGACCUACAAGUCGAGCAGGAACGAAAGUCGGUCUUAGUGAUCUGACGGUACUGAGUGGAAAGGCCGUCACUCAACGGAUAAAAGUUACUCUAAGGAUAACAGGCUGAUCUCCCCCAAGAGUUCACAUCGACGGGGAGGUUUGGCACCUCGAUGUCGGCUCAUCGCAUCCUGGGGCGGUAGUACGUCCCAAGGGUUGGGCUGUUCGCCCAUGAAAGCGGUACGCGAGCUGGGUUCAGAACGUCGUGAGACAGUUCGGUCCAUAUCCGGUGUAGGCGCUAGAAUAUUGAGAGGAGCCUUCUUUAGUACGAGAGGACCGAGAAGGACACACCGCUGGUGUACCAGUUAUCGUGCCAACGGUAAACGCUGGGUAGCUAUGUGUGGAGUGGAUAACCGCUGAAAGCAUCUAAGUGGGAAGCCCACCUCGAGAUGAGUAUUCCC